UCUCUCUUCACUCCCACAAGGAUAUGAUCCUGGCUCAGAACUAUCUCUCCGCGGCGCGCCUAACACAUGCAAGUCGAACGAGAAUCCGGGGCAACCCGGUAGUAAAGUGGCAAACGGGUGAGGAAUACAUGGGUCACCUACCCUUGAGAAGGGAAUAACCCGCCGAAAGGUGAGCUAAUACCCUAUACGCUAUCUUUUUUUUCGAAAAGGAUAGGAAAGCCUGGUCGAGGGCCUGGUACUCAAGGAGGGGCUCAUGUCCUAUCAGCUUGUUGGUGGGGUAACGGCCUACCAAGGCUACGACGGGUAGCUGGUCUGAGAGGAUGAUCAGCCACACUGGCACUGAGAUACGGGCCAGACUCCUACGGGAGGCAGCAGUGAGGAAUAUUGCGCAAUGGGCGAAAGCCUGACGCAGCGACGCCGCGUGGGGGAUGAAGGUUUUCGGAUUGUAAACCCUUUUCAUGAAGAAAGAUAAAGUGGGUAACCCUUCCCGGUACCUCAAGAAGAGCCACGGCUAACUCCUGCCGCAGCCCGGUAAUACAAAGGUGUCAUCUUUGUUCGGAUUACCUGGGGGAAGAGCCCGGAGGGGUUGGUAAACCUCCUUGGAAUCCUCCGGCUUAACCGGUAGGGCCGGAGC
This 634-nucleotide ribosomal RNA is filed under the name uncultured bacterium. RNAcentral describes it as "bacterial SSU rRNA". It matches the Rfam family "Bacterial small subunit ribosomal RNA", at positions 1 to 628 of the family's 1533-position model. The record is from RNAcentral.